This is a long non-coding RNA of Bos indicus x Bos taurus (hybrid cattle), 257 nucleotides long. Lineage: Eukaryota; Metazoa; Chordata; Mammalia; Artiodactyla; Bovidae. The record is from Ensembl.
AUUACUUUCUGCUGUUCUUUAUCUUUUGGUAUUGUUCUCUGAAUUGAAAGUCUUGUCAUGUUAAUUUAUUUAUAAUCUAACAGAAGCUGAAGAUGCACAGGCUGUUACUGAUGAGCCACUGUAACUCAUUCGCUGCCAAGGGCUGGGGCACACGCGAAAAUGCUGUGGCCUUUUGCUGGGGCAGAGCAAGUAGACAGCAAUACCUGAGAAAGUCGUGACAGCCCAGAGGAGCAUCACAGCCCUGCCGGGUCGGGGGA